UAAAUAUUACAGCAACCUGUUGGGUCUUGGUUUGAAUUUUGUUUAGUAAUAAAGCCCAUGAUUUGAGUAUGUUUGUGGUUUUCACAUUUGCAGGUUAGCAAACAAGACGUUGAGGAUACCUUUGAUGUUCCAUUUAGAGACUGUUUUGGAAGGAAAAGUUGCCACUGUUAUGUGUUUUACCUGUGCUGACUCUAAUCUUCUCCCUAAUACAUCAGAGGGUACCGGAAGCUUAAUGGGUGAGUUUCAUAUUCUGAUAAUGUUGACCACAGUCAACAAUCAACACCAAUAAAAAUUUGAUUAUCCAUGGGACUAAAUAAAAUAUGACAUAUUUUGCAUAUUGUGGAACAGGUACAUUGUUUCCGAUUGCAAUUCAGUAGGUGUUUUCUACGAUAACCAACACUGCACCGCUAUUGAAGGAAGCAGCUGCAGAUGCCAUUAAAGCCGGUUAGUAAAUGCCUAUAUAGAUUAGUGUCGUCAUUUUUUUGUGUGGCUAAGUAGAACUUUUAUUGAUUGAUAUAGUAAUAUGAACCUUAAUUUGAUUGUUGUUAUUGUAUUUCUAUUAUUUCAGGUUAGAUUUGGACUGUGGCCUAUUUCUUGCAGUGCAAACUGAGGGGGCCAUAGAAAGAAGGUUAUUGAGGAGGUGGAUGUAAACAAUGCACUUGUUAAUACAAUGACAGUCCAAAUGAGGCUGGGUAUGUUUGAUGGUGAGCCAUCUAAGCAGCCAUACGGACACUUAGGUCCACCAGAUGUGUGUUUGGCGACUAACAACCAACUCGCUCUUGAGGCUGCUCUACAAUGGAUAGUCUUGUUAUGUGACCGAGUUUAUCAAUAAAGUUUCUGUUAACAAGAAAAAAAAAAGGAAAAAAAAAGUAUAAAAAAAAGAAAACAAAAAAGAAACAAAGGAAAAAAAGAAAAGAAAAAAAAAAGAAAAUGAAAAAAAAAAGGAAAACAAAAGUGAAAAAGAACAAAUAGUAAAUAUAGUAGCAGGCCAGGAAAAUCAUUCAUUUGUAUGACAGUCAACGGAAUGCUGCGAGCACGUCCACCGAAGUAAGUGGUGUUUCUUUUAAUCCUGAUAUAUUAAGCACCUCAAAUUGUGAUUGACGACUGGUGUUCGCAAUAUUCUUUAGCUUUCGGAAGAGUAUGAAUAUGAUUUUUUUGCAUAUUAUUAUUGAUAAGGAUAUAUUUAGGAUGAUGACAUUUUCUUUAGUUAUAUCAUCCUAAACAGCUGUACUAACGCGGCACACACAUACGCAGGCACACACAAGGGGAACAUCUUGGAGUUUUUGUGUUUUCUUAUCCUCACAAGUAACGACAACCCUUUGCAGGUACCGUCUUCUUGAAAUCAUACCAUGUCACUAUUUUCUGGGGAUAUGUAUGAGAAAAGACAAGAUAGCUCUCAAUGAAUGAAGUUGUAAUCAACAUUGUCGAGUUGAAGAUUUCUUAAAACCUUGGGCUGGAAUCUACCUGUUACCGAAGACAAAAAAUCAAGUUUUGCGGAGCAGCUGAAUGGAGUUAUAGUGUUGUUCAGGACAAAAUCCAAGAACUACAUGCAUGGAGAGACUUGUAACCAAUGUUAGUAUCACUCACAGUCCCUUUAUUUUUCAGCUUGUGUCCAUUAUUUAAUGUUAUGUUUAAAAAUAAGGUAUAUCUUAUCUUCCAAGAAUUUGAAACACGGAGUGGAAAAGCAGAGGGGGAGAGAGAGAGGAGGUUAUCCAAAUCGGUCUUCAACUCAACUUUAGCUUAAGAUUAUGACCAUAUGAAUAUGACAUAAACAUCAUUCCAUCUAGUUGUUUGUCAAAUCAAAUACCCCAAUUAAGUCAUUAUAAUGUUUUUACUUCUUAGAAAUUCAUUUUGCACCAAACUACUACCAUCACUUUCUUUGAGCACCCUAUGUGUACUAGCGAUGGCAACAUUUUUGAUAUAUUAUGAUUAUCUUUCUAUUUAAAUUUUAUUAUGGGUUCGUAGCAUUUCACCGACAUAUUAUUUUGAAUUUGAUUGGAAUUUGAUUUGGGAGGUCCACACUACCCCAGAAUGUAAAUUUCUCAACAUUUUCAUGAUAGUAAUUUCCAUCUUUGAUUUUUGUAGGAAUGUAAUACUCGUAAGAGAAAGCAAGUUGAAAAACCAGAUGCUCCAAGGUUAUCCACUUCCAGGUUUAAAGUUCCCAAAUUGAAGAGUGCCUCUCCACGUACCACAUACUAAAAUGAAAAAAUGAAAAGAAAUGAAAAAAGAAAAAAAGUAAAAAAGAAAAGAGAGGAAAAAAAAGGAAAAAAAAAAGAAAAAGAAAAGAAAAAAUGGAAUAAGAGAAGAAAAAAACAAACUAUGCUACUUAAAGAAAAGAAAAAAUGGAAUAAGAGAAGAAAAAAACAAACUAUGUAAUUGUAGUAGCAGGCCAGGAGUAUUGAUCAUGUGUAUGACAACUAUUGGAACGCUGCAAGCACGUCCACCAAAGUAAGUAGUGUUGCUUUAAUUCCUAAUCUUUCAUGUGUAUUAUAGGCAAUGAACCAUUUACUAGGGAUGAUUUGAUAACAAUUCAAGUAUGCAAUAGUGUCCAUUCAUUGUGUUCUGUUUGCUGAAAGUUGAUACUAAAAAUUUCAAUGACCUUUUUGUCUUGAGAUGUGUAUUUUACGAGAUAUCUACAAUAUGUAAUCCAUCGAAUGGAAGGGCAACUGAAAAAUAUCCUGUCUUUGUGUCCAUUAGACGUUACCCUAUGCCAUUGUUUUGAAAUGCCCACCAACCCAUUUUGAUGGAGAGCUUGAAGUGUCAACAUUGCUCAUGGUAUAACUGUGAAAUUCAAGUAUCCAUGCACUGCCAUGGAAUGUUAACCCAUGAUCAGAAAAUGAGACUGAUCGAAAUGUAUAACUUUCAGGAUUUUAAUUUCAAAAUUUCAUGGAAAGGAAUAAAUUUAUCAGAUUGGUACUCUACUUGUAGAAAUUUUAAAUAUGAUGCAAACUAUCAAAAAUUUGAUUUUUGUGAGAUUGCUUUUGUGUUUGCAUGAUUUGUGAGAAAAGUAAUUUUAUGAUUUAUUUGAUUUAGCAGUAGACAUUGAAGUCGUGUAUGAAUAUCACGUCGAAAAUUGAAUGCACAUUAUAUAAUCGAGUGUGAUCAUUUCGAUAUUUGUCAAACUUGUCAGGUAAAAAGCACAAAUACUUCAGAUGCUGCCUCAUGGUCCUUCACUUCUACUUCUUAUGAUCGUGUCACUAAGUAUAAAUAUGAAUAUGUCAAAGGUGAAGAAACCCUUAGAAGAAAGGGUAUGUUUGGUUACACAAUACAUGGUGACUUGAACGUAGAACUGCAUUGUGACUUAGCUUCCAGGGAAUGUGAAAAUUUAUCACAUUAUGUGAGUGUGGCUACUGCAAUGGUUAUCUUUCCAUCAAAGUAUUAGGUAUGCAUCUUUGCCAUCUUUUUCAUUGUGUUCCUUGCUUUUGUUAAUGAUUUCUAAUCCCAAAAUCACCGGUGCUUUUUGGCCCUAUUAUUUAGUAAUUAUAUGGGUGGUGAUCCCACUGUUUUUUGGCCUUUUAAAGAUGAACUACACUCAAAAGUAGUUCAGUCGGGGAGGGGUGUUUUUAGUAUUGCAAACAGUAGUCCUCACACAAAUGUUUCCCAAUUCUUCAUCCUAUAAAUGUCUGCGAAUCAUCUGAACUUCAAUCAUACUGUUUUUGGUGGAGUUGUAGGGUUCUUGACUACCCUAGAAGUAAUGAUAGAGGGGAAAAUCCAAACAGUAGAUACUAAUUAAAUCAUAUCCGUUUCGUCAUUUAUUGCAUUUCAGCUCUCAACUUCCCGCUGUAUAACUAAAGCAUGCCAUUAUUUUUCUUGAAAUUUUUUAUUGAAUACAGAUUAUAAAUUUCAAGCUUUGAAUCUACCUCACAACAAAUCAAGAUUGGCACUAACCAGCAAUGCUGUACCAAGAUGUGUUCUUCUACUAGUAAAGAAGAUCAAAAGGUUUGUAUUGAACCCCACUAUCCGGAGAUGCUAAUAAAAUAAGUAGCCUAUUUAUUAAAUUAUUUUAGUCAUUUCAUAAGGGGAUAGUAUUAUCUGACUUUGUUGUUUUGUUAGUGAUAUUUUUUUCCGUGAAAAGAGUAUUUCCAAAUUCGAAUGACUAAUGUAUUUGUGUCCUGAUUGGUAAUAUGUUAUUGCAGUGGUAAAAAUGCUUGGCAAACAAAUGUGGCUUAUGACGCAUGCAUUAGCUUGGUUCUGCAUGCAGGGGGCAAGAGGCUGCACAAAAAUCUCUGAAUUUUGUACGAUGAGUGCUUGGUUGUUUGGAGUGCCUUUAGGUAUGUUACCAACCUUAGAAAUUAGAAUAUUGUUAUUUAAAAUGACUAGGAAAGUAUACCUCUUGUUACAAACCCUAACAUUUCAUCUUAUAUAUAUAUAUAUCAUCACUAGGCACACAGUUCGAUUUGGAAUUUUUCAAAAACUUAAUGCGAUUUUCUUCUUCUUCGACAUUGAGAUUAUCUUUAAGUUCCAAAGUAUGACGUUUUAUUUAUUUAUUUGGUGCAGCUAUUAUUAGGUGGUGGUGGUGGUACUGGUCCAAAUCCAAUACACAAUUCAUCCAUUUGCAUAAUCUCUAUUGUUAUGAGUUUCUCUUCUCCAAGAUUACCUUUUCAAAUUCGUAAAACCCAUAACUUCCCAGGUACUACUACUAGGAAGCUCAGAGGGCUUUGCUAAUUUUUUGUAUUAUUUUAGGAUUUAACCGCUAUAUCUGUAACUUCAAAUUUUCUACUCUUUCCAAAGUUAUGCAUUCUACUGUAUAUUGCUUGAAUGCUUAAUUUUUCAUUUAUCUUCUUAUGUCCCUGUUCCUUUCACCUUGAAAUUGUUUUUACCAUGCAUUCAUGCUUUAAAACUCUAGCACAUAUAUGCUCUAAGCCUCUAACACUGUCCUACAUUUAUCGCUUUUACCAUGCAGGGAAUAUCACAAAACCCUAUGCCGCCACAUGUGAUAUAUUUCCAGGUACAGAAAAUUUUGUUUCCGUUAUAUCCUAUGUAAAUCUCCCCCCCCCCCCCCCCCCCCCCAAAAAAAACACACACACACAUGCAGCUUCUCCAUAGGGAUCAAGCAAUUGUCCAGACUUGAGUUAUGAUUUUCUAUAUUUUCCCAUUAAUAUUUUCAUUUUUUUUUCUUGUAGAUUUGGAAGACAGAGGCACAACCACUACUAUGUAAUUUGUCUCAGUUUCUUUUAUUACUAUGGAAGGUGGAGUGAUAAAGGUAAUGACAAACAUCUUUUUUGUCUCCCAAUAGUUCCCUAUUUAUACCACUUAAAGAACAUUAAGAAAAUAAUAUAUGUUUGGAGUUUCUUAUCCACAAUGUUGCCUCACUAGACCUUAUGAGUAGUCUUGGUAGAAGCAUCUAUGAUCAUAUAAUCCUCUAAUUUUGAGCAGAUUUCUCACUCCUGAUCAUGACAAACAGAUGAAGAUAAAUGUAUCUGGAGCUAAAUCAGAAGCUAUUUUGGAAGGAAAAGUUGCCACUAUUAUGUGUUCUUACAAGUUACAAUCUAGUUAAUUGAAUUCCUACCUGUGCUGACCCUAAUCUUCUACGUAAUACAUCAGAGGGUACUGGAGGCUUAAUGGGUGAGUUUCAUAUUCCGAUUAUGUUGACCAAAGUCAACAAUCAACACCAAUAAAAAUUUGAUUACAUCCAUGGGACUAAAUAAAAUAUGACAUAUUUUUCAUAUGUGUGGAACAGGUACAUUGUUUCCGAUUGCAAUUCAGUAGUUGUUUUCUACGAUAACAACCACUGCACCGCUAUUGAAGGAAGCAGCUGCAGAUGCCAUUAAAGUCGGUUAGUAAAUGCCUAUAUAGAUUAGUGUCGUCAUUUUUGUGUGUUUGGCUAAGUAGAACUUUUAUUUUAUUGAUAUAGUAACAUGAACCUCAAUUUGAUUGUUGUUAUUGUAUUUCUAUUAUUUCAGGUUAGAUUUGGACUGUGGCCUAUUUCUUGCAGUGCACACUGAGCUGGCCAUAGAAAGAAGGUUAUUGAGGAGGUGGAUGUAAACAAUGCACUUGUUAAUACAAUGACAGUCCAAAUGAGGCUGGGUAGGUUUGAUGAUGAGCCAUCUAAGCAGCCAUACGGACGCUUAGGUCCACCAGAUGUGUGUUUCUCGACUAACAACCAACUAGCUCUUGAGGCUGCUCUACAAUGGAUAAUCUUGUUGUGUGAUUCCUUGAGUUUAUCAAUAAAGUUUCUGUUAAGAAGAAAAAAAAAGGAAAAUAAAAAAAUAGAAAAAAAAAAAAAACAAAGGAGAAAAAAGAAAAAAUAAAAGGAAAAAAGAAAAUGAUAGAAAAAGGAAAACAAAAGUGAAAAAGAAAAAAUAGUAAUUAUAGUAGCAGGCCAGGAAAAUCAUUCAUUUGUAUGACAGUCAACGGAAUGCUGCGAGCACGUCCACCGAAGUAAGUGGUGUUUCUUUUACUCCUGAUAUAUUAAGCACCCCAAAUUGUUGAUUGACAACUGGUGUUCGCAAUAUGCUUUAGCUUUGGAAAGAGUAAGAAUAUGAUUUUUUUGCAUAUUAUUAUUGAUAAGGAUAUAUUUAGGAUGAUGGCAUUUUCCUUGGUUAUCAUCCUAAACAGCUGUACUAACGUGGCACACACAUACACAUGCACACACAAGGGGAACAUCUUGGAGUUUUUGUGUUUUCUUAUCUUCACAAGUAACGACAACCUUUGCAGGUACUGUCUUCUGGAAAUCAUACCAUGUCACUAUUUUCUGGGGAUAUGUAUGAGAAAAGACAAGAUAGCUCUCAAUGAGUAUGAAGUUGUAAUCAACAUUGUCGAGCUGAAGAUUUCUUAAAACCUUGGGCUGGAAUCUACCUGUUACGGAAGACAAAAAAUCAAGUUUUGUCUGGGGAGAUGCUGGCUUGACAUUUUGGAGUCCAAAUGUGAACAUAUUUAGAGACCCAAGGUGGGGUCAUGGACAAGAAACUCCUGUUGAAGACCCAGUUUUAGCCGGUAAGUAUGCCGCUAGCUAUGUGAGAGGACUCCAACUCUCCAAGGUUACGGAGGUAACCCAUUGAAGGUAGCAGCAUGUUGUAAACAUUACACAGCAGACGAGCUUGAUAACUGGAAUGGCGUUGAUGCUUCCACUUUGAUGCCAAGGUAAAUAUUACAGCAACCUGUUGGGUCUUGGUUUGAAUUUUGUUUAGUAAUAAAGCCCAUGAUUUGAGCAUGUUUGGGGUUUUCACAUUUGCAGUUUAGCAAACAAGACGUUGAGGAUACCUUUGAUGUUCCAUUUAGAGACUGUUUUGGAAGGAAAAGUUGCCACUGUUAUGUGUUCUACCUGUGCUGACUCUAAUCUUCUACCUAAUACAUCAGAGGGUACCUGAAGCUUAAUGGGUGAGUUUUAUAUUCUGAUAAUGUUGACCACAGUCAACAAUCAACACCAAUAAAAAUUUGAUUAUCCAUGGGACUAAAUAAAAU
This 7404-nucleotide long non-coding RNA is filed under the name Aquilegia coerulea. Its description in RNAcentral is "long non-coding RNA (ACOE_LNC001797)". Lineage: Eukaryota; Viridiplantae; Streptophyta; Magnoliopsida; Ranunculales; Ranunculaceae. The record is from RNAcentral.